AUGUGGGCGGAAGUAACUGCUACAGCUGGCAGCCUAGGGUACUUGAAGGACACCUUGCAGCACUGUCACAUCAGUCACUUCCGGCCGCCUAAACAUGCAAAUGGGCUUUAAUUGUAAAAGACACAUGACAAAAUAGUAAGGGAACUUAGAAUAAAAGGUCAAGGCUUGACCAAUACCUUCCGACGAGAAGCCCGUGGUCAAAAAAAUAAAAAGUCAAAUGCUUCUAGUGCACCAGUUCGAUAAAAUGCAACCCUUUUCUCCCUACAGAAACCACUCACAUUUUAUCUAGCACACCACAGAAGAAUGACUAAAGGCAACUAAAGACUUUUUAAAGAGAAAGGCAAGAUCAAGAAACAAAAACCCCUAGACUUAGAGUCAUAAGCACUGAUAUUUACAAUCCCGAUACUCAUGACUGAUACUCAUGACUGGGGCUGAUGAUGGGUACUCGGAGAUCCCAGUCAGCAAAGUCAAAGUUAACAACAAUCGCAAGAAUAUAAGAAAGAAUGCUAAACAUAAACUAAAAGAAAGAAACUGAAAGUCAGGAGAAGCUGAUACACCAACAGCUGAUGACAGGAAGCUAAGAUUACUGUACAACAUUGGAACUUGAACUAAACAGGUAAAACUGAUUAGACCUCUCUCUACAACACAUAAAGGUGUCCCCGAGACACACAAACCUAAAACAUACCUAAAGAGGCAAGGCUAACCCUGCAAGCAACAUUAGAGAAUGAUAAGCUUACCAAGUCUGGAAGGUACAAGCUGGCAUGAGGCUCCCUUGGGCAGAGCAAUCUGCCUAUAAAAGGAGGGUCUUGUUCCAGCCCAAAAUUCCAACCAAGGAGCUACCUUUUGGAGUUGAUCCUCGACCUUCCCCCCUGCCAUAGUGGACUUUACUAUAGAACCACUCCCCUUUUGGCGAUGCCUGUAAGUUGUGGAUAACA
This 935-nucleotide long non-coding RNA is filed under the name Helianthus annuus (common sunflower). Lineage: Eukaryota; Viridiplantae; Streptophyta; Magnoliopsida; Asterales; Asteraceae. The record is from RNAcentral.